UGGGGCGUGGUGCAAUGGCAGCACACCAGACUUUGGAUCUGUGGAUCCUGGUUCGAGCCCGGGCGCCCCAG
This 71-nucleotide transfer RNA is filed under the name Anaerolineaceae bacterium. RNAcentral's name for it is "tRNA-Gln". It matches the Rfam family "tRNA". From Rfam's summary of the family: Transfer RNA (tRNA) molecules are approximately 80 nucleotides in length. Lineage: Bacteria; Bacillati; Chloroflexota; Anaerolineae; Anaerolineales; Anaerolineaceae. The record is from RNAcentral. RNAcentral also lists the same sequence under 1 other name.